Molecule: ribosomal RNA, 490 nt
Filed under: uncultured bacterium
Lineage: Bacteria
Description: partial 16S ribosomal RNA
Rfam family: Bacterial small subunit ribosomal RNA
Source: RNAcentral
AGUGAACGCUGGCGGUAGGCCUAACACAUGCAAGUCGAACGGCAGCACAGGAGAGCUUGCUCUCUGGGUGGCGAGUGGCGGACGGGUGAGGAAUACAUCGGAAUCUACCUUUUCGUGGGGGAUAACGUAGGGAAACUUACGCUAAUACCGCAUACGACCUACGGGUGAAAGUGGGGGACCGCAAGGCCUCACGCGAUUAGAUGAGCCGAUGUCCGAUUAGCUAGUUGGCGGGGUAAUGGCCCACCAAGGCGACGAUCGGUAGCUGGUCUGAGAGGAUGAUCAGCCACACUGGAACUGAGACACGGUCCAGACUCCUACGGGAGGCAGCAGUGGGGAAUAUUGGACAAUGGGCGCAAGCCUGAUCCAGCCAUACCGCGUGGGUGAAGAAGGCCUUCGGGUUGUAAAGCCCUUUUGUUGGAAAAGAAAUCCUGUCGAUUAAUACUCGGUGGGGAUGACGGUACCCAAAGAAUAAGCACCGGCUAACUUCGUG